Molecule: transfer RNA, 69 nt
Filed under: Ictidomys tridecemlineatus (thirteen-lined ground squirrel)
Lineage: Eukaryota; Metazoa; Chordata; Mammalia; Rodentia; Sciuridae
Description: Spermophilus tridecemlineatus (thirteen-lined ground squirrel) tRNA
Rfam family: tRNA
About the family: Transfer RNA (tRNA) molecules are approximately 80 nucleotides in length. Their secondary structure includes four short double-helical elements and three loops (D, anti-codon, and T loops). Further hydrogen bonds mediate the characteristic L-shaped molecular structure. tRNAs have two regions of fundamental functional importance: the anti-codon, which is responsible for specific mRNA codon recognition, and the 3' end, to which the tRNAs corresponding amino acid is attached (by aminoacyl-tRNA synthetases). tRNAs cope with the degeneracy of the genetic code in two manners: having more than one tRNA (with a specific anti-codon) for a particular amino acid; and 'wobble' base-pairing, i.e. permitting non-standard base-pairing at the 3rd anti-codon position.
Source: Rfam by way of RNAcentral
GGGGUUGUGGCUCAGUGGUAGAGCGCUCGCCUAGUACAGGCGAGACCCUGGGUUCGAUCCCCAACACCA